RNAcentral lists this ribosomal RNA (497 nucleotides) under uncultured bacterium. RNAcentral describes it as "partial 16S ribosomal RNA". It matches the Rfam family "Bacterial small subunit ribosomal RNA", at positions 28 to 507 of the family's 1533-position model. The record is from RNAcentral.
GAUGAACGCUGGCGGCGUGCCUAAUACAUGCAAGUCGAGCGAACAGACGAGGAGCUUGCUCCUCUGAUGUUAGCGGCGGACGGGUGAGUAACACGUGGAUAACCUACCUAUAAGACUGGGAUAACUUCGGGAAACCGGAGCUAAUACCGGAUAAUAUUUUGAACCGCAUGGUUCAAUAGUGAAAGACGGUCUUGCUGUCACUUAUAGAUGGAUCCGCGCUGCAUUAGCUAGUUGGUAAGGUAACGGCUUACCAAGGCGACGAUGCGUAGCCGACCUGAGAGGGUGAUCGGCCACACUGGAACUGAGACACGGUCCAGACUCCUACGGGAGGCAGCAGUAGGGAAUCUUCCGCAAUGGGCGAAAGCCUGACGGAGCAACGCCGCGUGAGUGAUGAAGGUCUUCGGAUCGUAAAACUCUGUUAUUAGGGAAGAACAAAUGUGUAAGUAACUAUGCACGUCUUGACGGUACCUAAUCAGAAAGCCACGGCUAACUACGUG